Molecule: long non-coding RNA, 282 nt
Filed under: Nicotiana benthamiana
Lineage: Eukaryota; Viridiplantae; Streptophyta; Magnoliopsida; Solanales; Solanaceae
Description: long non-coding RNA (NBEN_LNC024310)
Source: RNAcentral
UGCAACCUAAUUGAAUCUAUUUUGUGGAUUCGGAAGCAUUAAUGCAAAGGUAAUUUCUUCUUUCUUUUUUUGUGAUUUUCUUGUUUGUUGUUUUUUUUGUAGUUCAAGCGAGAUCCGUGCGUGAAUGAGGUGGUCUUAGGGUGUGAGGGGAUGGUUACUUAUCCCUGCCCAAUUCUUGGAGAGAAUACUCUCAAAAUGGCCCGAUUCUUGGAGAGAUUACUCUCAAGAUAGCCCGAUUCUUGGAGAGAUUACUCUCAAAAUGGCCCGAUUCUUCGAGAGAAU